AUACGGAGGAUCCAAGCGUUAUCCGGAAUCAUUGGGUUUAAAGGGUCCGUAGGCGGGUUUGUAAGUCAGUGGUGAAAGUUUUCGGCUCAACCGGAAAAUUGCCAUUGAUACUGCAAGUCUUGAAUCAUGAUGAAGUGGUUAGAAUGUGUAGUGUAGCGGUGAAAUGCAUAGAUAUUACACAGAAUACCGAUUGCGAAGGCAGAUCACUAAUAAUGUAUUGACGCUAAGGGACGAAAGCGUGGGUAGCGAACAGAAUUAGAAACCCCGGUAGUCC
This 274-nucleotide ribosomal RNA is filed under the name uncultured bacterium. RNAcentral describes it as "partial 16S ribosomal RNA". It matches the Rfam family "Bacterial small subunit ribosomal RNA", at positions 523 to 796 of the family's 1533-position model. The record is from RNAcentral.